GCUCUAAGGCCUACCACCUUCAGAAGUCGACCUGUGGCAAAUGUGGCUACCCUGCCAAGCGCAAGAGAAAGUAUAACUGGAGUGCCAAGGCUAAAAGACGAAAUACCACCGGAACUGGUCGAAUGAGGCACCUAAAAAUUGUAUACCGCAGAUUCAGGCAUGGAUUCCGUGAAGGAACAACACCUAAACCCAAGAGGGCAGCUGUUGCAGCAUCCAGUUCAUCUUAAGAAUGUCAACGAUUAGUCAUGCAAUAAAUGUUCUGGUUUUAAAAAAUACAUAUCUGGUUUUGGAGUUUGGAUCAUAAUACAAGAGAAGCACAGGGCAAAGACACUGCAUAACCUCAAGAACUAAGAAUGGAAGGACUGGCCAGGCCUGGUGGUGCACACCUGUAAUCCCAGCUACUCAGGAGGCUGAGGCGAGAGAAUCGCUUGAGCCUGGGGGGCAGAGGUUGCAGUGAGCUGAGAGAACGGCGGGCGGCAGAGCGAGACUCCAUCUCAAAAAAAAAAAAGGAUAAAGGAAGGACUUAAGCAAAAUCUUCCUUGUAAGUAGAAGGAUGUUUUGACAAGAAAAGUUGCAAUGGAAAAAUGGUUCUCAUGUACACGAGUAUGUAGAAUAAGCAUCGUGUGUGGAUUGGAUUCAGAUCAAAACAUUGCUUUUAUGUUUGUGUCUUUAUACGGUGGGAGUAUACCCUGGUGCCCCAGGAUGAAGACUUGACCUGACCCAUGUAUUUUUAGAUUACUCACAGAUAACAAAAAGUAUUUUCAUCAUGAUUAGUUGCGAAAACAGUUUUAUUUCAAUAGGUAAAACGUGCAGUCCUAUGUAAUCGUCAGAAGGUAAUCUUAAUUAUAGCUUGGGUGUGCUUUAAACUGCAAGCUGGCAGUGGAGGGCACGAUUCCUCUGAUUUCAGCUUUCUCCUUAUACUUUUCUGGAGCUGUGAGCUGCAAGUUAACUCAGUGGGAUUAAAGUGUAGACUGGAGGUACAAAAGGUGAGGAGUGAGGAGAUAGGGUAGUUCUUCCUUGGCUGGCUGGCUUCAUAAUCCCUGGGCCCCGCAGAUAAUUAAAUCGACUUUUUCUGUCUCAGGCAUUUGUAUGACCUCUUUGGAGGUUCCCUGCUGGGUAGUUAUCCUUGUAUCUGAUGGACCCAUCUCAAUUUAAAAUACUCUGCCAGGUUCGGAGGUUCAUGCUUGUCAUCCCAGCACUUUGGGAGGCUCAGAGGUGCCAUUGGCUUGAGCCCAAGAGUUUGAGACCAGCCUGGGCAACCUGGUGAAACCUCUUCUCCAUUAAAAAUACAAAAAAUUAGCCAGGCAUGGUGGUAUGUGCCUGUAGUCCCAGCUACUCAGGGAGCUGAGGUGGAAGGAUUGCUUGAGCCUGGGAGGUCAAGGCUGCAGUGAACCUUGAUUGUGCCACUGCACUCCAGCCUGGAUGACAAAGACCCUGUCUCAAGAAAAGUCUGUAAUUCUUUCCUAACCCUUAGUAUCCAGCCUCAGUCCUGAGGUUUUCUUUACCUCUGGGGGCUAUUUUAUGCCGGCUCUCUCCUGAGUGUCACACAUCUGGUCCUCAGGAAACAUUCUCACAUCCCUGGCCUGAAAAAAACAAUUUCAGGGAGAUCGCAUGGCAGCAGCCCUCUCUGGGCUCCCCAGCUAAAUGGUUGUACGAAACACAUUUCAAAGCUCUCUGAAGGGCUUCCUUGAAGUUCCUUUCACUGGGUUUCAAAGUAGAAGGUAGUAACUCCUUUGUCCAAGAAGGCUGAAUUGAGCACUUAACAAUUCUCCAAAGAAAUUUCUUCAUUGGUCUCUAUCCUAGACCCCUUCUGUAUCCUUGAUAUGGCUGAGGAUUCUAAAAAAUGACCAGUCUUACAUGGG
Molecule: long non-coding RNA, 1862 nt
Filed under: Homo sapiens (human)
Lineage: Eukaryota; Metazoa; Chordata; Mammalia; Primates; Hominidae
Description: HSALNT0087028
Source: RNAcentral